RNAcentral lists this ribosomal RNA (253 nucleotides) under uncultured bacterium. RNAcentral describes it as "partial 16S ribosomal RNA". It matches the Rfam family "Bacterial small subunit ribosomal RNA", at positions 524 to 776 of the family's 1533-position model. The record is from RNAcentral.
UAGGGAGGGGGCUAGCGUUGUUCGGACUUACUGGGCGUAAAGCGCGCGUCGGCGGACCUGCAAGUCGGGGGUGAAAGCCCGAGGCUCAACCUCGGAACUGCCUUCGAUACUGCGGGUCUCGAGUCCGGAAGAGGUGAGUGGAAUUCCUAGUGUAGAGGUGAAAUUCGUAGAUAUUAGGAAGAACACCAGUGGCGAAGGCGGCUCACUGGCCCGGUACUGACGCUGAUGUGCGAAAGCGUGGGGAGCAAAUAGG